Molecule: transfer RNA, 74 nt
Filed under: bacterium
Lineage: Bacteria
Description: tRNA-Gln
Rfam family: tRNA
About the family: Transfer RNA (tRNA) molecules are approximately 80 nucleotides in length. Their secondary structure includes four short double-helical elements and three loops (D, anti-codon, and T loops).
Source: RNAcentral
UGGGGUAUAGUCUAAUGGUAGGACAGCAGUCUCUGGCUCUGUGUGUCGGGGUUCGAUUCCCUGUACCCCAGCCA